AUGGAGCAAAGUAGACGGAAGCUUCGAAGAUUAAAGCCGCGGUGUAGGGAGGUCGAAGCAGAAGCAAUUGAGCACGGAGAAGAGAGGUUGAUUCGGAAGCGUAAAGCUGAGGCGAAGAAGCCAGACGGUGGUCUUAUGGAGGCGUCAUGUUGGACAAAUCAGAGUGAGAACGGAGAAGAUGGAGUCGCUGUGACGAAGUCGAGCGCAUACGACGGAUGUUGA
This is a non-coding RNA of Vicia faba (fava bean), 222 nucleotides long. NCBI's taxonomy places the organism in Eukaryota, Viridiplantae, Streptophyta, Magnoliopsida, Fabales, Fabaceae. The record is from the annotation of a GenBank genome assembly.